GACGAACGCUGGCGGCGUGCUUAACACAUGCAAGUCGAACGGAGAUUCAGCAAUGGAUCUUAGUGGCGAACGGGUGAGUAACGCGUAGGCAAUCUGCCUUCUAGAUGGGGACAACAUCCCGAAAGGGGUGCUAAUACCGAAUGUUGUAGUUGGUUCGUAUGGACUAGCUACUAAAGGUGGCCUCUGAAUAUGCUACCGCUAGAAGAUGAGCCUGCGUCUGAUUAGCUAGUUGGAGGGGUACCGGCCCACCAAGGCUUCGAUCAGUAGCAGGUCUGAGAGGAUGAACGGCCACACUGGAACUGAGACACGGCCCAGACUCCUACGGGAGGCAGAAGUGGGGAAUCUUCCGCAAUGGACGAAAGUCUGACGGAGCAACGACGCGUGAGUGAAGAAGGUUUUCGGAUCGUAAAGCUCUUUCGUUAGGGACGAACGUGCUCUUUGUGAAUAAUGAGGAGUAAUGACGGUACCUAAAUAAGAAGCCACGGCUAACUACGUGCCAGCAGCCGCAGUAA
This 512-nucleotide ribosomal RNA is filed under the name uncultured bacterium. Its description in RNAcentral is "partial 16S ribosomal RNA". It matches the Rfam family "Bacterial small subunit ribosomal RNA", at positions 28 to 523 of the family's 1533-position model. The record is from RNAcentral.